GUGCCAGCCGCCGCGGUAAUACGUAGGUGGCAAGCGUUAUCCGGAUUUACUGGGUGUAAAGGGCGUGCAGGCGGGUCUGCAAGUCGGGUGUGAAAUUUCCGGGCUUAACUCGGACGGGUCACCCGAAACUGCGGAUCUUGAGUACUGGAGAGGAUAGUGGAAUUCCUAGUGUAGCGGUAAAAUGCGUAGAUAUUAGGAGGAACACCAGUGGCGAAGGCGGCUAUCUGGACAGUAACUGACGCUGAGGCGCGAAAGCGUGGGGAGCAAACAGGAUUAGAAACCCUGGUAGUCC
Molecule: ribosomal RNA, 292 nt
Filed under: uncultured bacterium
Lineage: Bacteria
Description: partial 16S ribosomal RNA
Rfam family: Bacterial small subunit ribosomal RNA
Source: RNAcentral